Molecule: ribosomal RNA, 253 nt
Filed under: uncultured bacterium
Lineage: Bacteria
Description: partial 16S ribosomal RNA
Rfam family: Bacterial small subunit ribosomal RNA
Source: RNAcentral
UACGUAGGGGGCAAGCGUUGUCCGGAAUUAUUGGGCGUAAAGAGCGUGUAGGCGGCCAGAUAAGUCCGCUGUGAAAUCUCGAGGCUCAACUUCGAGCUGUCGGUGGAAACUAUCUGGCUAGAGUCCGGAAGAGGAGAAUGGAAUUCCUGGUGUAGCGGUGAAAUGCGCAGAUAUCAGGAAGAACACCCGUGGCGAAGGCGGUUUUCUGGGACGGUACUGACGCUGAGACGCGAAAGCGUGGGGAGCGAACGGG